AAGUCGAACGGUAACGGGUUAAGCCGACGAGUGGCGGACGGGUGAGUAAUACAUGGGAAUCUGCCUGAUAGUGGGGGACAACCUAGGGAAACUUAGGCUAAUACCGCAUAAUCCCUAAGGGGGAAAGUAGGGGACCUUCGGGCCUUACGCUAACAGAUGAGCCCAUGUCGGAUUAGCUAGUUGGUAGGGUAAAAGCCUACCAAGGCUACGAUCCGUAGCUGGUCUGAGAGGACGACCAGCCACACUNNN
RNAcentral lists this non-coding RNA (249 nucleotides) under Beggiatoa alba B18LD. RNAcentral describes it as "Bacterial small subunit ribosomal RNA". It matches the Rfam family "Bacterial small subunit ribosomal RNA", at positions 59 to 317 of the family's 1533-position model. The record is from Rfam by way of RNAcentral. Lineage: Bacteria; Pseudomonadati; Pseudomonadota; Gammaproteobacteria; Thiotrichales; Thiotrichaceae.